AUUAUUUACACUGAAUAAAAUGUUUUUGUGUUUUUAAAAUGUAAAACAAUAACUAGAAUAGAGUUUUAUCAAAUUUGCAUGUUUCUGUUUAUAUUUAUGUGUGACGAUUUGAAAGAAAUAAGUUCUUCAGCGAAGGCCGUAUGAUACCCUGUCAGUUAUUUUGAUCAGACCUUCAAAAAUUGACUAGUGGACAAAAGUACGAUACCUAUGCUGCAACAUUAGUAAACAUAAAAACUUGUGAAAUCGUAAAAUCGAUGUGCCGUUAACUGUUUUACAUUCCUCAGGGCGUUUGAUAAGUGUAACACUCCUUAGAGGGCAGGUUUCUUUGUGAGGUCGAAUAGGAAUCGUCAAAGAUUGACUCCGUGUGGGGCUGGGCUUCGCCCCCGCUGCGGUUGCAGCUGGGUAACUCACGCGGACACAAAAGCGAAACACAAGCUGAAUCUCGCGGGCCGCAUGCUGCCCUUUGGGCUUUCGGUCCGGCCCGACGCCAUAUUGUUUGAGGCCCGGAACAUGAAGAUGGGGGAGGGCGGGUCGCCGGGCGGCGGCGGCGGCGGCGGGGCGCGGCUGUCGCACACGUCGGAGAAACACCCGCGCGCCAUCCUCGGCGAGCUGUCGGCGCUGCGCCGCCACCGGGAGCUGUGCGAUGUGGUGCUCAAUGUCGCUAACAGGAAACUCUUUGCUCACCGGGUGAUCCUGUCAGCAUGCAGCCCGUACUUCCGCGCGAUGUUCACGGGCGAGCUGGCCGAGUCUCGCGCCACCGAGGUGACCAUCCGCGACGUGGAUGAACAGGCCAUGGAGCAGCUCGUCGAGUUCUGCUACACUGCCCACAUCGUCGUCGAGGAGAGCAAUGUCCAGGCGUUGCUCCCGGCAGCAUGCCUGCUGCAACUCCAGGAGAUCCAGGACGUGUGCUGCGAGUUCCUCAAGCGGCAGCUGGACUGCUCCAACUGCCUCGGCAUACGCGCCUUCGCCGACACACACUCUUGCCGAGAACUGCUCCGGAUCGCUGACAAAUUCACACAACAGAACUUUCCAGAGGUAAUGGAAAGCGAAGAGUUCCUACUGCUGCCGGCGGCGCAGCUGAUCGACAUCGUGUCGUCGGACGAGCUGAACGUGCGCUCGGAGGAACAGACCUUCCAGGCUGUCAUGUCCUGGGUCAAGUAUAAUGUGGCUGAGAGGAGACAGCAUCUGGCACAGGUCCUACAACACGUGCGGCUGCCACUGCUAAGCCCCAAGUUCCUAGUGGGCACAGUAUCCUCAGAACUGCUGAUCCGGUCCGACGACGCCUGCCGCGACCUGCUGGAUGAGGCCAAGAACUACCUGCUGCUGCCCCAGGAGAGGCCGCUCAUGCAGGGACCUAGGACAAGGCCUAGGAAACCUACGAGACGAGGAGAAGUCCUAUUCGCUGUGGGCGGAUGGUGUUCAGGCGACGCCAUCGCAUCGGUGGAGCGGUUCGACCCGCAGACGUCGGAGUGGAAGAUGGUGGCGCCCAUGUCCAAGCGGCGCUGCGGCGUCGGCGUCGCCGUGCUGCACGACCUGCUGUACGCCGUCGGCGGCCAUGACGGACAGAGCUAUCUCAACAGCAUCGAGCGGUAUGAUCCGCAGACUAAUCAGUGGUGCGGGUCGGUGGCGCCGACGUCGUCGUGCCGCACGUCUGUCGGCGUGGCCGUGCUGGAGGGCGCCCUGUACGCCGUCGGCGGCCAGGACGGCGUGCAGUGCCUCAACCACGUCGAGCGCUACGACCCCAAGGAGAACCGCUGGACCAAGGUGGCGCCGAUGAACACGCGGCGGCUGGGCGUGGCGGUGGCGGUGCUGGGCGGGCAGCUGUACGCCGUGGGCGGGUCGGACGGCGCGGCGCCGCUGAGCUCGGUGGAGCGGUACUGCCCGCGCAGCAACAAGUGGAGCCAGGCCGCCAGCAUGUCCACGCGCCGCAAGCACCUCGGCUGCGCCGUCUUCGACGGACAGAUCUACGCCGUCGGCGGCCGCGACGACUGCACCGAGCUCUCCUCUGCCGAGCGGUCAGUCGCACACUCAUUAGGGUUCCUAAACCUCAAGGUCUUAUCAAGAAACAUAGGCAUUCCAUCACUGUCUCGCCGGCUGAUGACACGAACCUUACGAGCCGCACACGGACACGUGGUCGCCGGUGGUGGCGAUGACGUCACGACGCUCGGGCGUCGGGCUGGCCGUCGUCAACGGGCAGCUGUAUGCCGUCGGCGGCUUCGACGGCACCGCCUAUCUUAAGUCUAUAGAGGUGUUCGACCCGGAAUCGAACCAAUGGCGAUUAUGUGGCGCGAUGAACUACCGGCGGCUCGGCGGCGGCGUCGGCGUCAUGCGAGCGCCGCAUCAUGACAACCAUUAUAUAUGGAACCGAAAAGACUCAGUAGUGUGAGGUGG
This 2391-nucleotide unclassified non-coding RNA is filed under the name Helicoverpa zea (corn earworm). Its description in RNAcentral is "kelch-like protein diablo, transcript variant X2". The record is from RNAcentral. Lineage: Eukaryota; Metazoa; Arthropoda; Insecta; Lepidoptera; Noctuidae.